Molecule: ribosomal RNA, 638 nt
Filed under: uncultured bacterium
Lineage: Bacteria
Description: bacterial SSU rRNA
Rfam family: Bacterial small subunit ribosomal RNA
Source: RNAcentral
GGGUGAGUAACGCGUGGGUAACCUGCCUCAUACAGGGGGAUAACGAUUGGAAACGAUUGCUAAUACCGCAUAAGCGCACAGUACCACAUGGUACAGUGUGAAAAACUCCGGUGGUAUGAGAUGGACCCGCGUCUGAUUAGCUAGUUGGUGAGGUAACGGCCCACCAAGGCAACGAUCAGUAGCCGACCUGAGAGGGUGACCGGCCACAUUGGGACUGAGACACGGCCCAGACUCCUACGGGAGGCAGCAGUGGGGGAUAUUGCACAAUGGAGGAAACUCUGAUGCAGCGACGUCGCGUGAGUGAAGAAGUAUUUCGGUAUGUAAAGCUCUAUCAGCAGGGAAGAAAAUGACGGUACCUGACUAAGAAGCCCCGGCUAACUACGUGCCAGCAGCCGCGGUAAUACGUAGGGGGCAAGCGUUAUCCGGAUUUACUGGGUGUAAAGGGAGCGUAGACGGCGAUGCAAGUCUGAAGUGAAAUACCCGGGCUCAACCUGGGAACUGCUUUGGAAACUGUAUGGCUAGAGUGCUGGAGAGGUAAGCGGAAUUCCUAGUGUAGCGGUGAAAUGCGUAGAUAUUAGGAAGAACACCAGUGGCGAAGGCGGCUUACUGGACAGUAACUGACGUUCAGGCUCGAAAGC